This 71-nucleotide transfer RNA is filed under the name Trichobatrachus robustus. RNAcentral describes it as "tRNA-Phe". It matches the Rfam family "tRNA". From Rfam's summary of the family: Transfer RNA (tRNA) molecules are approximately 80 nucleotides in length. Their secondary structure includes four short double-helical elements and three loops (D, anti-codon, and T loops). Further hydrogen bonds mediate the characteristic L-shaped molecular structure. tRNAs have two regions of fundamental functional importance: the anti-codon, which is responsible for specific mRNA codon recognition, and the 3' end, to which the tRNAs corresponding amino acid is attached (by aminoacyl-tRNA synthetases). tRNAs cope with the degeneracy of the genetic code in two manners: having more than one tRNA (with a specific anti-codon) for a particular amino acid; and 'wobble' base-pairing, i.e. permitting non-standard base-pairing at the 3rd anti-codon position. The record is from RNAcentral. Lineage: Eukaryota; Metazoa; Chordata; Amphibia; Anura; Arthroleptidae.
GCUUAUAUAGCUUAACCACAAAGCACAGCGCUGAAAACGCUAAGACGAAUCCUAAAAAGAUUCUAUACGCA